Long non-coding RNA from Aethina tumida (small hive beetle), 1141 nucleotides. RefSeq lists it as uncharacterized. The record is from RefSeq and is a predicted model, not a curated record. The transcript has 3 exons. NCBI's taxonomy places the organism in Eukaryota, Metazoa, Arthropoda, Insecta, Coleoptera, Nitidulidae.
AAGAGAUACAUACUUAUUUAAAAUAGAACUUAUUGGACACGACUAAGAAAAAAAACAAAUUUCGACUUGUUGCUGAGAACAAUUUCGCAUGGAAAAUCGAAUUCUGUUCUGCUGAUCGGUCCUAAGGAUUCUGGGAAAACUACUUUGCUCAAAGAAGUGUUAAAUCAGCUGCAAAACGUCUCAAAUGCACUUGGAUAAUGCUGUAGAUAGUAAAGUGUUUGGGAGCUUUGCAGAAGACUUGGUAUUCCUGUUAGUAUAUUUGAGGACCGGAGAGAGACACACAUCAAAAAGUAAAAUAAUCAUUUUAGAAGAGUUUGAUCUCUUUUGCAACCAUCAUAAUUAUCAUCAUUUUUAUAAUUUGUUUGACGUGUCACACUCAGCUCAAGCUCCAAUUUGUGAAUUGGGUAUAAAGGUGUUACAAUGUUCAAGAAUUUUGUUUUAUUUUUUAAUUUUUAAUGGGUAACUUGUCGUUUAGUUGUUACAGAACUUUUGGAAAAACAUGUGAAGUCUAGAUACUCACAUUGACAAUUUUUUUUGUUUCCCGGAGAAGUUGAGAUACCAUUUAAUCUGAAUUACGCGUUAAACAGUAUAAAACAAUUAUUGCAGUUGCCAAACACUGAGAUUCAAAUUAAUGCAAACAUCAGGAAGCAGUGGAAUUCUAAUAAGAAAUUUAAAGACAUAAUCCAGAGGAUAAUUGAUAUCGAUUUAUAUGACAAGAGUUUAAAAACAUCUUGGUAAUCAAAUGUUUUUUUAUUAAAUUUAUCAAUAGUAAUUUAGCAAGUUUUCAGAUAAAAGUUGUGUCAAGGCUGAAUGAAAAUAAUUAAAAUUGACUAAUGAGCAGUUCCAAGAGUAACUAAACUAUUCGGAAAAAGAUAAUACCAUUUAAACACUUCAAUACUUAAAUGUUUUGGAAUUGUGUCUCAUUACAGCUAUGAAACAUCAUAUUGAGAUUUAUGAAAUUUUCUAAUGCUAACACCAAUGUCCAUACAAUUGUAAUAAUGAAGUUAUUUGAGCAUAUCGAGGUUAUAUAUUUACGAAUCUCAAAUUGAUCUCUAAAAUUGGUGGGAAGAGAAAAAGAAAUAUCAGCCUUUUAAACUUUUGGUAACUCCAAGGGAAAUUUCGGAAGCAAUCAAUAAAUGUC